Molecule: ribosomal RNA, 301 nt
Filed under: uncultured bacterium
Lineage: Bacteria
Description: partial 16S ribosomal RNA
Rfam family: Bacterial small subunit ribosomal RNA
Source: RNAcentral
CAGUAGCCGCGGUAAUACGGGGGGGGCAAGUGUUAUUCGGAAUGACUGGGCGUAAAGGGCACGUAGGCGGUGAAAAGGGUGGAAAGUGAAAGUCGCCAAAACACUGGCGGGGUGCUUUCUUGACCAUUUCACUUGAGUGAGAUAGGGGAGAGUGGAAUUUCGUGUGGAGGGAUCAAAUCCUAAGAUAUACGAAGGAACGCCAACCGCGAAGGCAGCUCUCUGGGUCCCCACUGACGCUGGGGUGCGAAAGCAUGGGGAGCAAACAGGAUCAGAUACCCGGGUAGUCCCUGUCUCUUAUACA